RNAcentral lists this ribosomal RNA (497 nucleotides) under uncultured bacterium. RNAcentral's name for it is "partial 16S ribosomal RNA". It matches the Rfam family "Bacterial small subunit ribosomal RNA", at positions 28 to 507 of the family's 1533-position model. The record is from RNAcentral.
GAUGAACGCUGGCGGCGUGCCUAAUACAUGCAAGUCGAGCGAACAGACGAGGAGCUUGCUCCUCUGACGUUAGCGGCGGACGGGUGAGUAACACGUGGAUAACCUACCUAUAAGACUGGGAUAACUUCGGGAAACCGGAGCUAAUACCGGAUAAUAUAUUGAACCGCAUGGUUCAAUAGUGAAAGACGGUUUCGCUGUCACUUAUAGAUGGAUCCGCGCCGCAUUAGCUAGUUGGUAAGGUAACGGCUUACCAAGGCGACGAUGCGUAGCCGACCUGAGAGGGUGAUCGGCCACACUGGAACUGAGACACGGUCCAGACUCCUACGGGAGGCAGCAGUGGGGAAUCUUCCGCAAUGGGCGAAAGCUUGACGGAGCAACGCCGCGUGAGUGAUGAAGGUCUUCGGAUCGUAAAACUCUGUUAUUAGGGAAGAACAAAAGUGUAAGUAACUAUGCACGUCUUGACGGUACCUAAUCAGAAAGCCACGGCUAACUACGUG